This 535-nucleotide ribosomal RNA is filed under the name uncultured bacterium. RNAcentral's name for it is "bacterial SSU rRNA". It matches the Rfam family "Bacterial small subunit ribosomal RNA", at positions 1 to 526 of the family's 1533-position model. The record is from RNAcentral.
ACUUAGAGUUUGAUCAUGGCUCAGGACGAACGCUGGCGGCGUGCCUAACACAUGCAAGUCGAGCGGAAAGGCCUCCUUCGGGAGGUACUCGAGCGGCGAACGGGUGAGUAACACGUGGGCAACCAACCCCUCACAUCGGGAUACCCCGGGGAAACUCGGAUCAAUACCGGAUAAUGCGCGGCGCUGUUGGGCGCCGCACCAAAGGUAGCUUCGGCCUCUGGUGAGGGACGGGCCCGCGGCCCAUUAGCUUGUUGGUGGGGUAACGGCCUACCAAGGCAACGAUGGGUAGCUGGUCUGAGAGGAUGAUCAGCCACACUGGGACUGAGAUACGGCCCAGACUCCUACGGGAGGCAGCAGUGGGGAAUAUUGCGCAAUGGGCGGAAGCCUGACGCAGCAACGCCGCGUGCGGGGGGAAGGCCUUCGGGUCGUAAACCGCUUUCAGGGGGGACGAAGCCACCUGGGUUAAUAGCCUAAGGGGUGACGGUACUCCCAGAAGAAGCCCCGGCUAACUACGUGCCAGCAGCCGCGGUACGCC